This 919-nucleotide ribosomal RNA is filed under the name Neomicrosphaeropsis italica. RNAcentral's name for it is "partial 28S ribosomal RNA". It matches the Rfam family "Eukaryotic large subunit ribosomal RNA", at positions 32 to 969 of the family's 3401-position model. The record is from RNAcentral. Lineage: Eukaryota; Fungi; Ascomycota; Dothideomycetes; Pleosporales; Didymellaceae.
AAAUAAGCAUAUCAAUAAGCGGAGGAAAAGAAACCAACAGGGAUUGCCCUAGUAACGGCGAGUGAAGCGGCAACAGCUCAAAUUUGAAAUCUGGCGUCUUUGGCGUCCGAGUUGUAAUUUGCAGAGGGCGCUUUGGCAUUGGCAGCGGUCCAAGUUCCUUGGAACAGGACGUCACAGAGGGUGAGAAUCCCGUACGUGGUCGCUAGCCUUUACCGUGUAAAGCCCCUUCGACGAGUCGAGUUGUUUGGGAAUGCAGCUCUAAAUGGGAGGUAAAUUUCUUCUAAAGCUAAAUACUGGCCAGAGACCGAUAGCGCACAAGUAGAGUGAUCGAAAGAUGAAAAGCACUUUGGAAAGAGAGUUAAAAAGCACGUGAAAUUGUUGAAAGGGAAGCGCUUGCAGCCAGACUUGCCUGUAGUUGCUCAUCCGGGUUUUUACCCGGUGCACUCUUCUAUAGGCAGGCCAGCAUCAGUUUGGGCGGUUGGAUAAAGGUCUCUGUCAUGUAACUCUCUUCGGAGAGAACUUAUAGGGGAGACGACAUGCAACCAGCCUGGACUGAGGUCCGCGCAUCUGCUAGGAUGCUGGCGUAAUGGCUGUAAGCGGCCCGUCUUGAAACACGGACCAAGGAGUCUAACAUCUAUGCGAGUGUUUGGGUGUCAAGCCCGAGCGCGUAAUGAAAGUGAACGGAGGUGGGAACCUUUCGGGGUGCACCAUCGACCGAUCCUGAUGUCUUCGGAUGGAUUUGAGUAAGAGCAUAGCUGUUGGGACCCGAAAGAUGGUGAACUAUGCUUGAAUAGGGUGAAGCCAGAGGAAACUCUGGUGGAGGCUCGCAGCGGUUCUGACGUGCAAAUCGAUCGUCAAAUUUGGGCAUAGGGGCGAAAGACUAAUCGAACUAUCUAGUAGCUGGUUCCUGCCGAUUCCU